This 238-nucleotide ribosomal RNA is filed under the name uncultured bacterium. Its description in RNAcentral is "partial 16S ribosomal RNA". It matches the Rfam family "Bacterial small subunit ribosomal RNA", at positions 96 to 334 of the family's 1533-position model. The record is from RNAcentral.
CGGCGGACGGGUGAGUAACGCGUGGGUAACCUACCCUGUACACACGGAUAAUAUACCGAAAGGUAUGCUAAUACGGGAUAAUAUAUUUGAGAGGCAUCUCUUGAAUAUCAAAGGUGAGCCAGUACAGGAUGGACCCGCGUCUGAUUAGCUAGUUGGUAAGGUAACGGCUUACCAAGGCGACGAUCAGUAGCCGACCUGAGAGGGUGAUCGGCCACAUUGGAACUGAGACGCGGUCCAA